UUCGCCCUUAGAGUUUGAUCCUGGCUCAGGACGAACGCUGGCGGCGCGCCUAACACAUGCAAGUCGAACGAGCGAGAGAGAGCUUGCUUUCUCAAGCGAGUGGCGAACGGGUGAGUAACGCGUGAGGAACCUGCCUCAAAGAGGGGGACAACAGUUGGAAACGACUGCUAAUACCGCAUAAGCCCACGACCCGGCAUCGGGUAGAGGGAAAAGGAGCAAUCCGCUUUGAGAUGGCCUCGCGUCCGAUUAGCUAGUUGGUGAGGUAAUGGCCCACCAAGGCGACGAUCGGUAACCGGACUGAGAGGUUGAACGGCCACAUUGGGACUGAGACACGGCCCAGACUCCUACGGGAGGCAGCAGUGGGGGAUAUUGCACAAUGGGGGAAACCCUGAUGCAGCGACGCCGCGUGGAGGAAGAAGGUUUUCGGAUUGUAAACUCCUGUCGUUAGGGACGAUAAUGACGGUACCUAACAAGAAAGCACCGGCUAACUACGUGCCAGCAGCCGCGGUAAAACGUAGGGUGCAAGCGUUGUCCGGAAUUACUGGGUGUAAAGGGAGCGCAGGCGGGAAGACAAGUUGGAAGUGAAAACCAUGGGCUCAACCCAUGAAUUGCUUUCAAAACUGUUUUUCUUGAGUAGUGCAGAGGUAGAUGGAAUUCCCGGUGUAGCGGUGGAAUGCGUAGAUAUCGGGAGGAACACCAGUGGCGAAGGCGGUCUACUGGGCACCAACUGACGCUGAGGCUCGAAAGCAUGGGUAGCAAACAGGAUUAGAUACCCUGGUAGUCCAUGCCGUAAACGAUGAUUACUAGGUGUUGGGGGAUUGACCCCCUCAGUGCCGCAGUUAACACAAUAAGUAAUCCACCUGGGGAGUACGACCGCAAGGUUGAAACUCAAAGGAAUUGACGGGGGCCCGCACAAGCAGUGGAGUAUGUGGUUUAAUUCGAAGCAACGCGAAGAACCUUACCAGGUCUUGACAUCCGAUGCAUAGCACAGAGAUGUGUGAAAUCCUUCGGGACAUCGAGACAGGUGGUGCAUGGUUGUCGUCAGCUCGUGUCGUGAGAUGUUGGGUUAAGUCCCGCAACGAGCGCAACCCUUAUUGCCAGUUACUACGUUAAGAGGACUCUGGCGAGACUGCCGUUGACAAAACGGAGGAAGGUGGGGAUGACGUCAAAUCAUCAUGCCCUUUAUGACCUGGGCUACACACGUACUACAAUGGCGUUAAACAAAGAGAAGCAAGACCGCGAGGUGGAGCAAAACUCAAAAACAACGUCUCAGUUCAGAUUGCAGGCUGCAACUCGCCUGCAUGAAGUCGGAAUUGCUAGUAAUCGCGGAUCAGCAUGCCGCGGUGAAUACGUUCCCGGGCCUUGUACUCACCGCCCGUCA
RNAcentral lists this ribosomal RNA (1381 nucleotides) under uncultured bacterium. RNAcentral describes it as "16S ribosomal RNA". It matches the Rfam family "Bacterial small subunit ribosomal RNA". The record is from RNAcentral.